GGGCACACCCCAGCGGGAAGGGAAGCCCCAAGGAGAUGAGGAAGAAACAAAAAAGAAUUAGUUCUUCCACCCAUGAAUGGAUGAUGGAAGACCGGUGAUGAAGGCAAGACCCUUCCGGGGGUUGAAGAGCCACCACCCUCGGGCUUUAGGGUGGGGUCGGAGCACAAAGAAUGCCCGGAAGAGUGAAACGCGAGGGUUGGUCGGCAAGAGCUGACACAACAGCGCGAAGGAGAUGAUGAGACGGACGGAGUUCGGUGCCAGUUGCGCUGGACAGAGUCUGUAAUAAUCUAAUAAAUUUCGGACGAACUCCGAAAUUGG
Molecule: long non-coding RNA, 318 nt
Filed under: Elaeis guineensis (African oil palm)
Lineage: Eukaryota; Viridiplantae; Streptophyta; Magnoliopsida; Arecales; Arecaceae
Description: long non-coding RNA (EGUI_LNC004409)
Source: RNAcentral